UUAAGUUAUUAAGGGCGCACGGUGGAUGCCUUGGCACUAGAAGCCGAUGAAGGACGUUACUAACGACGAUAUGCUUUGGGGAGCUGUAAGUAAGCUUUGAUCCAGAGAUUUCCGAAUGGGGAAACCCAGCAUGAGUUAUGUCAUGUUAUCGAUAUGUGAAUACAUAGCAUAUCAGAAGGCACACCCGGAGAACUGAAACAUCUUAGUACCCGGAGGAAGAGAAAGAAAAUUCGAUUCCCUUAGUAGCGGCGAGCGAAACGGGAAGAGCCCAAACCAAAAAGCUUGCUUGUUGGGGUUGUAGGACACUCUAUACGGAGUUACAAAGGACGACAUUAGACGAAUCAUCUGGAAAGAUGAAUCAAAGAAGGUAAUAAUCCUGUAGUCGAAAAUGUUGUCUCUCUUGAGUGGAUCCUGAGUACGACGGAGCACGUGAAAUUCCGUCGGAAUCUGGGAGGACCAUCUCCUAAGGCUAAAUACUCUCUAGUGACCGAUAGUGAACCAGUACCGUGAGGGAAAGGUGAAAAGCACCCCGGAAGGGGAGUGAAAUAGAACCUGAAACCGUGUGCUUACAAGUAGUCAGAGCCCGUUAAUGGGUGAUGGCGUGCCUUUUGUAGAAUGAACCGGCGAGUUACGAUUUGAUGCAAGGUUAAGCAGUAAAUGUGGAGCCGUAGCGAAAGCGAGUCUGAAUAGGGCGUUUAGUAUUUGGUCGUAGACCCGAAACCAGGUGAUCUACCCUUGGUCAGGUUGAAGUUCAGGUAACACUGAAUGGAGGACCGAACCGACUUACGUUGAAAAGUGAGCGGAUGAACUGAGGGUAGCGGAGAAAUUCCAAUCGAACCUGGAGAUAGCUGGUUCUCUCCGAAAUAGCUUUAGGGCUAGCCUCAAGUGAUGAUUAUUGGAGGUAGAGCACUGUUUGGACGAGGGGCCCCUCUCGGGUUACCGAAUUCAGACAAACUCCGAAUGCCAAUUAAUUUAACUUGGGAGUCAGAACAUGGGUGAUAAGGUCCGUGUUCGAAAGGGAAACAGCCCAGACCACCAGCUAAGGUCCCAAAAUAUAUGUUAAGUGGAAAAGGAUGUGGCGUUGCCCAGACAACUAGGAUGUUGGCUUAGAAGCAGCCAUCAUUUAAAGAGUGCGUAAUAGCUCACUAGUCGAGUGACACUGCGCCGAAAAUGUACCGGGGCUAAACAUAUUACCGAAGCUGUGGAUUGUCCUUUGGACAAUGGUAGGAGAGCGUUCUAAGGGCGUUGAAGCAUGAUCGUAAGGACAUGUGGAGCGCUUAGAAGUGAGAAUGCCGGUGUGAGUAGCGAAAGACGGGUGAGAAUCCCGUCCACCGAUUGACUAAGGUUUCCAGAGGAAGGCUCGUCCGCUCUGGGUUAGUCGGGUCCUAAGCUGAGGCCGACAGGCGUAGGCGAUGGAUAACAGGUUGAUAUUCCUGUACCACCUAUAAUCGUUUUAAUCGAUGGGGGGACGCAGUAGGAUAGGCGAAGCGUGCGAUUGGAUUGCACGUCUAAGCAGUAAGGCUGAGUAUUAGGCAAAUCCGGUACUCGUUAAGGCUGAGCUGUGAUGGGGAGAAGACAUUGAGUCUUCGAGUCGUUGAUUUCACACUGCCGAGAAAAGCCUCUAGAUAGAAAAUAGGUGCCCGUACCGCAAACCGACACAGGUAGUCAAGAUGAGAAUUCUAAGGUGAGCGAGCGAACUCUCGUUAAGGAACUCGGCAAAAUGACCCCGUAACUUCGGGAGAAGGGGUGCUCUUUAGGGUUAACGCCCAGAAGAGCCGCAGUGAAUAGGCCCAAGCGACUGUUUAUCAAAAACACAGGUCUCUGCUAAACCGUAAGGUGAUGUAUAGGGGCUGACGCCUGCCCGGUGCUGGAAGGUUAAGAGGAGUGGUUAGCUUCUGCGAAGCUACGAAUCGAAGCCCCAGUAAACGGCGGCCGUAACUAUAACGGUCCUAAGGUAGCGAAAUUCCUUGUCGGGUAAGUUCCGACCCGCACGAAAGGCGUAACGAUUUGGGCACUGUCUCAACGAGAGACUCGGUGAAAUCAUAGUACCUGUGAAGAUGCAGGUUACCCGCGACAGGACGGAAAGACCCCGUGGAGCUUUACUGUAGCCUGAUAUUGAAAUUCGGCACAGCUUGUACAGGAUAGGUAGGAGCCUUUGAAACGUGAGCGCUAGCUUACGUGGAGGCGCUGGUGGGAUACUACCCUAGCUGUGUUGGCUUUCUAACCCGCACCACUUAUCGUGGUGGGAGACAGUGUCAAGCGGGCAGUUUGACUGGGGCGGUCGCCUCCUAAAAGGUAACGGAGGCGCUCAAAGGUUCCCUCAGAAUGGUUGGAAAUCAUUCAUAGAGUGUAAAGGCAUAAGGGAGCUUGACUGCGAGACCUACAAGUCGAGCAGGGUCGAAAGACGGACUUAGUGAUCCGGUGGUUCCGCAUGGAAGGGCCAUCGCUCAACGGAUAAAAGCUACCCCGGGGAUAACAGGCUUAUCUCCCCCAGGAGUUCACAUCGACGGGGAGGUUUGGCACCUCGAUGUCGGCUCAUCGCAUCCUGGGGCUGUAGUCGGUCCCAAGGGUUGGGCUGUUCGCCCAUUAAAGCGGUACGCGAGCUGGGUUCAGAACGUCGUGAGACAGUUCGGUCCCUAUCCGUCGUGGGCGUAGGAAAUUUGAGAGGAGCUGUCCUUAGUACGAGAGGACCGGGAUGGACAUACCUCUGGUGUACCAGUUGUCGUGCCAACGGCAUAGCUGGGUAGCUAUGUGUGGACGGGAUAAGUGCUGAAAGCAUCUAAGCAUGAAGCCCCCCUCAAGAUGAGAUUUCCCAACUUCGGUUAUAAGAUCCCUCAAAGAUGAUGAGGUUAAUAGGUUCGAGGUGGAAGCAUGGUGACAUGUGGAGCUGACGAAUACUAAUCGAUCGAAGACUUAAUCAA
Molecule: ribosomal RNA, 2921 nt
Filed under: Staphylococcus aureus M0711
Lineage: Bacteria; Bacillati; Bacillota; Bacilli; Caryophanales; Staphylococcaceae
Description: bacterial LSU rRNA
Rfam family: Bacterial large subunit ribosomal RNA
Source: RNAcentral